GCAUCCGUAGCUCAACUGGAUAGAGUACUCGGCUACGAACCGAGCGGUCGGAGGUUCGAAUCCUCCCGGAUGCACCA
Molecule: transfer RNA, 77 nt
Filed under: Escherichia coli
Lineage: Bacteria; Pseudomonadati; Pseudomonadota; Gammaproteobacteria; Enterobacterales; Enterobacteriaceae
Also listed under: 6 other names
Description: tRNA-Arg
Rfam family: tRNA
About the family: Transfer RNA (tRNA) molecules are approximately 80 nucleotides in length. Their secondary structure includes four short double-helical elements and three loops (D, anti-codon, and T loops). Further hydrogen bonds mediate the characteristic L-shaped molecular structure. tRNAs have two regions of fundamental functional importance: the anti-codon, which is responsible for specific mRNA codon recognition, and the 3' end, to which the tRNAs corresponding amino acid is attached (by aminoacyl-tRNA synthetases). tRNAs cope with the degeneracy of the genetic code in two manners: having more than one tRNA (with a specific anti-codon) for a particular amino acid; and 'wobble' base-pairing, i.e. permitting non-standard base-pairing at the 3rd anti-codon position.
Source: RNAcentral